This 298-nucleotide ribosomal RNA is filed under the name Miturga lineata. RNAcentral describes it as "partial 28S ribosomal RNA". It matches the Rfam family "Eukaryotic large subunit ribosomal RNA", at positions 1596 to 1873 of the family's 3401-position model. Lineage: Eukaryota; Metazoa; Arthropoda; Arachnida; Araneae; Miturgidae. The record is from RNAcentral.
GAAAGGGAAUGGGGUCAAUAUUCCCCAACCCGGACACGGAGAUCGGGCCUUCGGGCUCAAGUGCGGCGACGCAACCGAACUCGGAGAAGUCGACGGAGGACCCGGGGAAGAGUUGUCUUUUCUUUGUAAGAGUUCGUGUCCCUGGAAUCGGCUCGUCCGGAGAUAGGGACGCUGUUCUCGUAAAAGCACCGCGGCUCUUGCGGUGUCCGGUCCGCCUCUGUCGGCCCUUGCAAAUCCGAGGGAGAUGGUGUGAUUUUCGUGCCGGACCGUACCCAUAUCCGCAGCAGGUCUCCAAGGU